RNAcentral lists this long non-coding RNA (213 nucleotides) under Vigna radiata. RNAcentral's name for it is "long non-coding RNA (VRAD_LNC002254)". The record is from RNAcentral. Lineage: Eukaryota; Viridiplantae; Streptophyta; Magnoliopsida; Fabales; Fabaceae.
UUAUUUUGGUAAGAUUGUGAGGAUAUUCACAACUGGUUGCUAUAGUGAUAAUGAGUGGGGUGAGAAGCACAUUGAGAGGGGAUAUCUCUGCAUUCUUGUAUACUUUAUCAUUAUAGUUGAAUCCUAUAAAAUCCCAAAAAAAUGGUAUUUUAGAAGUGGUGGUAAUCUAAAAAUAGUGAGACUCGAUUAUUUUAAUCGACCACAGCAAUGAGG